GAUGAACGCUGGCGGCGUGCCCAAUACAUGCGAGUCGAGCGAACAGACGAGGAGCUUGCUCCUCUGACGUUAGCGGCGGACGGGUGAGUAACACGUGGAUAACCUACCUAUAAGACUGGGAUAACUUCGGGAAACCGGAGCUAAUACCGGAUAAUAUAUUGAACCGCAUGGUUCAAUAGUGAAAGACGGUUUUGCUGUCACUUAUAGAUGGAUCCGCGCCGCAUUAGCUAGUUGGUAAGGUAACGGCUUACCAAGGCAACGAUGCGUAGCCGACCUGAGAGGGUGAUCGGCCACACUGGAACUGAGACACGGUCCAGACUCCUACGGGAGGCAGCAGUAGGGAAUCUUCCGCAAUGGGCGAAAGCUUGACGGAGCAACGCCGCGUGAGUGAUGAAGGUCUUCGGAUCGUAAAACUCUGUUAUUAGGGAAGAACAAAUGUGUAAGUAACUAUGCACGUCUUGACGGUACCUAAUCAGAAAGCCACGGCUAACUACGUG
RNAcentral lists this ribosomal RNA (497 nucleotides) under uncultured bacterium. RNAcentral describes it as "partial 16S ribosomal RNA". It matches the Rfam family "Bacterial small subunit ribosomal RNA", at positions 28 to 507 of the family's 1533-position model. The record is from RNAcentral.